This 500-nucleotide ribosomal RNA is filed under the name uncultured bacterium. RNAcentral's name for it is "partial 16S ribosomal RNA". It matches the Rfam family "Bacterial small subunit ribosomal RNA", at positions 30 to 523 of the family's 1533-position model. The record is from RNAcentral.
AUUGAACGCUGGCGGCAGGCCUAACACAUGCAAGUCGAGCGGAUGAAGAGAGCUUGCUCUCUGAUUCAGCGGCGGACGGGUGAGUAAUGCCUAGGAAUCUGCCUGGUAGUGGGGGACAACGUCUCGAAAGGGACGCUAAUACCGCAUACGUCCUACGGGAGAAAGCAGGGGACCUUCGGGCCUAGCGCUAUCAGAUGAGCCUAGGUCGGAUUAGCUAGUUGGUGAGGUAAUGGCUCACCAAGGCGACGAUCCGUAACUGGUCUGAGAGGAUGAUCAGUCACACUGGAACUGAGACACGGUCCAGACUCCUACGGGAGGCAGCAGUGGGGAAUAUUGGACAAUGGGCGAAAGCCUGAUCCAGCCAUGCCGCGUGUGUGAAGAAGGUCUUCGGAUUGUAAAGCACUUUAAGUUGGGAGGAAGGGCAGUAAAUUAAUACUUUGCUGUUUUGACGUUACCGACAGAAUAAGCACCGGCUAACUCUGUUACAGCCGCCGCCGUAA